CGAGGAGGUAGGGCUUACGCUCGCGUUUGUCUGUUAUAUCUUGGUGGACGAGUCGUCGCGGUUGGGACUGAGGUGCCUACAACGUGCUUUUGAGUGAGUUUGUGUCUCCGUGUGCGCCGUGUGCGGAUAGCUUGCUAUGUAUGUGUGGUUGUGUGUGGAUUGAUGCGGGCUUUAACUUGUCGCCGUUCGGGACGUUGACGAAAUGGAGCGAUCCGACCCGUCUUGAAACACGGACCAAGGAGUCUAACAUGUGUGCAAGUGUUAGGGUGUGGAAACCCCAGCGCGAAAUGAAAGUGAAGGGCAGCGCAAGUUGUCUGAGGUAGGAAACGUUGCGGGCCUCGGUCUGCGGCGUGGCACUAUCGACCGAUCAUGAACCUUCGUGGUGAAAGAUUUGAGUUUGAGCACAUAUGUUGGUACCCGAAAGAUGGUGAACUAUGCCUGAGUAGGGUGAAGCCAGGGGAAACUCUGGUGGAAGCUCGUAGCGAUUCUGACGUGCAAAUCGAUCGUCAAACUUGGGUAUAGGGGCGAAAGACUAAUCGAACCAUCUAGUAGCUGGUUCCCUCCGAAAUUUCCCUCAGGAUAGCAGCAACUUAUUUACGAUAGUUUUAUGAGGUAAAGCGAAUGAUUAGAGGAUUCGGGGAAGAAACUUCCUCGACCUAUUCUCAAACUUUAAAUCUGUAAGACCUGCAGGUUUCUUAAU
Molecule: ribosomal RNA, 700 nt
Filed under: Pseudoperonospora cubensis
Lineage: Eukaryota; Oomycota; Peronosporomycetes; Peronosporales; Peronosporaceae
Description: LSU rRNA
Rfam family: Eukaryotic large subunit ribosomal RNA
Source: RNAcentral